Eriocheir sinensis (Chinese mitten crab) is the source of this 1418-nucleotide long non-coding RNA. RefSeq lists it as uncharacterized. The record is from RefSeq and is a predicted model, not a curated record. NCBI's taxonomy places the organism in Eukaryota, Metazoa, Arthropoda, Malacostraca, Decapoda, Varunidae. The transcript has 3 exons.
AUGCAACUAGGGGUUUAAAAUGGAAAAUGCUGGAAAGUAAAGAUGGCGCCACUAUAAACACUUGCCGGCGCCACAACAGGCUGGGGCCGACCAUCAGGCCCUACUAUGAAGGCCUACCGGCGCCACAGGCCAAGACGUAAAACAAAUAUAUAUGUAUAAUGCCAUGUUGUAGGGUUCAUCAGGGCUAACAAAUGUUAUUAUACAAUGUCAUGUCUACUAUGCAUGGGUAAGCCAGGAAAACAACAACAACAAAAAAAGACGAAAGGAUGAACAACAAUACCAAUAAAGGAACACAAAAAACACGAUGAAAGGAAAGAAAGAAAAAAAUGUCAUGUCUACAAUGCAUGGGUAAGCCAGGAAAACAACAAAAAAAAAAGACGAAAGGAUGAACAACAAUAACAAUAAAGGAACACAAAAAACACGAUGAAAGGAAAGAAAGAAAAAAAUAAGGGAAAGAAAGACAGAAAAAAGAAAGGGAAAGAGAGAACGGAAGCAGUACCCAACACAACGAAACGGAACAAGAGAUAAAGAGAAGGAAUGGAAAGCAAAGAAACAGCAGUAAAGGAAAUAAAGCUAAACAAAGACAAACAAUAGCAAACAACCACAGUGCCAUCAGUUCAUCCCAUCGCUAAAGGGACAAAGGAUGACACCAGAGCUUGGUGCGUGAAGCGGGGUAGGGGGAAGGAAGGGGAGGGGUAGAAGAGGAGGAGGAGGAGGAGGAGGUGGUCGGGUGAAGGGAAGGAGGAGGAAUGGGAAGGAAGGGGAGGGAUAGGAGAGGAGGAGGUGAUGGGUGAAAGGGGAGGAGGAGGAAUGUGAAGGAAGGGGAGUGAGAGAAGAGGAGGAGGAGGAGGAGGAGGUGAUGAUGGGAAGAAUGGGGAAAGGGUAGGGAUAGAAGAAUGGGAGGAGGGGGAGGUGAUUGGAAGAAGAGGGGAAAGGGGAAGGAAGGGGAGGGAUAGAAGAGGAGGAGGAAGAGGUGAUGAGAAAAGGGGGGAAGGGGAGGAGGAGGGGAUGAUGGGAAGAAGGAGGAAGGGGUUUAAGUCCUCCCAGACACAAGGCUUUAAUCGCAUGAGUGGGGAGGAAGGGGGAAGGAAGGGGAGGAACAGACGGGGAGGAGGAGGAGGAGGAGGAAGGGGAUGAUGGGAAGAAGGAGGAGGAGGAAGAGGUUUUAAGUUCUCCCAGACACCAGACCUCGAGUACUUCCUUCCUCCUCCUCCUCCUCCUCCUCCUCCUCCUCCUCCUCCUUCUUUCUCUCUUGGCACUCUUAGGGCAUAAUGGAGUAUAAGGGUGUGUCUCUCAGGCCUUCCCCCCCCCCCCCCCCUGAAUGACACCCCAUUAUGCGAGGGGGAGGGGGUGGGGGGAGGAGGGGAGAAAGAAGGGGGGAGUAAGGGUGAGGACGUGAUUAAGGGGGGAGGGGGUGA